Molecule: ribosomal RNA, 274 nt
Filed under: uncultured bacterium
Lineage: Bacteria
Description: partial 16S ribosomal RNA
Rfam family: Bacterial small subunit ribosomal RNA
Source: RNAcentral
AUACGGAGGGUGCAUGCGUUACUCGGAAUCACUGGGCGUAAAGCGCGCGCAGGCGGCUAUUUAAGUUGGAUGUGAAAGCCUACGGCUCAACCGUAGAACUGCAUCCAAAACUAUUUAGCUAGAGUGUGGGAGAGGAAGAUGGAAUUAGUUGUGUAGGGGUAAAAUCCGUAGAGAUAACUAGGAAUACCAAAAGCGAAGGCAAUCUUCUGGAACACUACUGACGCUGAGGCGCGAAAGCGUGGGGAGCAAACAGGAUUAGAAACCCGAGUAGUCC